GCAGUCGAGCGAACGACGAGGAGCUUGCUCCUCUGACGUUAGCGGCGGACGGGUGAGUAACACGUGGAUAACCUACCUAUAAGACUGGGAUAACUUCGGGAAACCGGAGCUAAUACCGGAUAAUAUAUUGAACCGCAUGGUUCAAUAGUGAAAGACGGUUUUGCUGUCACUUAUAGAUGGAUCCGCGCCGCAUUAGCUAGUUGGUAAGGUAACGGCUUACCAAGGCAACGAUGCGUAGCCGACCUGAGAGGGUGAUCGGCCACACUGGAACUGAGACACGGUCCAGACUCCUACGGGAGGCAGCAGUAGGGAAUCUUCCGCAAUGGGCGAAAGCCUGACGGAGCAACGCCGCGUGAGUGAUGAAGGUCUUCGGAUCGUAAAACUCUGUUAUUAGGGAAGAACAAAUGUGUAAGUAACUAUGCACGUCUUGACGGUACCUAAUCAGAAAGCCACGGCUAACUACGUGCCAGCAGCCGCGGUAAUACGUAGGUGGCAAGCGUUAUCCGGAAUUAUUGGGCGUAAAGCGCGCGUAGGCGGUUUUUUAAGUCUGAUGUGAAAGCCCACGGCUCAACCGUGGAGGGUCAUUGGAAACUGGAAAACUUGAGUGCAGAAGAGGAAAGUGGAAUUCCAUGUGU
RNAcentral lists this ribosomal RNA (635 nucleotides) under Bacillus sp. CSu1_9. Its description in RNAcentral is "bacterial SSU rRNA". It matches the Rfam family "Bacterial small subunit ribosomal RNA", at positions 57 to 676 of the family's 1533-position model. The record is from RNAcentral. Lineage: Bacteria; Bacillati; Bacillota; Bacilli; Caryophanales; Bacillaceae.